AGGCAGCAGUGGGGAAUAUUGCACAAUGGGCGAAAGCCUGAUGCAGCAACGCCGCGUGAGGGACGAAGGCCUUCGGGUUGUAAACCUCUUUUAGUAGGGAAGAAGCGAAAGUGACGGUACCUGCAGAAAAAGCACCGGCUAACUACGUGCCAGCAGCCGCGGUAAUACGUAGGGUGCAAGCGUUGUCCGGAAUUAUUGGGCGUAAAGAGCUCGUAGGCGGUUUGUCGCGUCUGCUGUGAAAACCCGAGGCUCAACCUCGGGCCUGCAGUGGGUACGGGCAGACUAGAGUGCGGUAGGGGAGAUUGGAAUUCCUGGUGUAGCGGUGGAAUGCGCAGAUAUCAGGAGGAACACCAAUGGCGAAGGCAGAUCUCUGGGCCGUAACUGACGCUGAGGAGCGAAAGCAUGGGGAGCGAACAGGAUUAGAUACCCUGGUAGUCCAUGCCGUAAACGUUGGGAACUAGAUGUGGGGACCAUUCCACGGUCUCCGUGUCGCAGCUAACGCAUUAAGUUCCCCGUCUGGGGAGUACGGCCGCAAGGCUAAAACUCAAAGGAAUUGACGGGGGCCCGCACAAGCGGCGGAGCAUGCGGAUUAAUUCGAUGCAACGCGAAGAACCUUACCAAGGCUUGACAUAUAGAGGAAACGGCUGGAAACAGUCGCCCCGCAAGGUCUCUAUACAGGUGGUGCAUGG
This 689-nucleotide ribosomal RNA is filed under the name uncultured bacterium. Its description in RNAcentral is "bacterial SSU rRNA". It matches the Rfam family "Bacterial small subunit ribosomal RNA", at positions 346 to 1048 of the family's 1533-position model. The record is from RNAcentral.